This 468-nucleotide ribosomal RNA is filed under the name uncultured bacterium. Its description in RNAcentral is "partial 16S ribosomal RNA". It matches the Rfam family "Bacterial small subunit ribosomal RNA", at positions 28 to 507 of the family's 1533-position model. The record is from RNAcentral.
GACGAACGCUGGCGGCGUGCUUAACACAUGCAAGUCGAACGGAAAGGCCCUGCUUUUGUGGGGUGCUCGAGUGGCGAACGGGUGAGUAACACGUGAGUAACCUGCCCUUGACUUUGGGAUAACUUCAGGAAACUGGGGCUAAUACCGGAUAGGAGCUCCUGCUGCAUGGUGGGGGUUGGAAAGUUUCGGCGGUUGGGGAUGGACUCGCGGCUUAUCAGCUUGUUGGUGGGGUAGUGGCUUACCAAGGCUUUGACGGGUAGCCGGCCUGAGAGGGUGACCGGCCACAUGGGGACUGAGAUACGGCCCAGACUCCAACGGGAGGCAGCGGUGGGGAAUAUUGCACAAUGGGCGGAAGCCUGAUGCAGCAACGCCGCGUGCGGGAUGACGGCCUUCGGGUGGAAAACCGCUUUCGCCUGUAACGAAGCGUUAGUGACGGUAAUGAGUAAAGAAGCACCGGCUAACUACGUG